RNAcentral lists this ribosomal RNA (460 nucleotides) under uncultured bacterium. RNAcentral describes it as "partial 16S ribosomal RNA". It matches the Rfam family "Bacterial small subunit ribosomal RNA", at positions 338 to 795 of the family's 1533-position model. The record is from RNAcentral.
CCUACGGGAGGCAGCAGUGAGGAAUAUUGGUCAAUGGGCGCGAGCCUGAACCAGCCAAGUCGCGUGAAGGAUGACUGCCCUACGGGUUGUAAACCUCUUUUAUCAAGGAGUAAAGUGAGGCACGUGUGCCUUUUUGUAUGUACCCUAUGAAUAAGGAUCGGCUAACUCCGUGCCAGCAGCCGCGGUAAUACGGAGGAUCCGAGCGUUAUCCGGAUUUAUUGGGUUUAAAGGGAGCGUAGAGGGGUUGUUAAGUCAGUUGUGAAAGUUUGAGGCUCAACCGUAAAAUUGCAAUUGAUACUGGCAGCCUUGAGUACAGUUGAAGUAGGCGGAAUUCGUGGUGUAGCGGUGAAAUGCUUAGAUAUCACGAAGAACUCCGAUUGCGAAGGCAGCCUACUAAACUGCCACUGACAUUGAUGCUCGAAAGUGUGGGUAUCAAACAGGAUUAGAUACCCGUGUAGUC